UACGUAGGUGACAAGCGUUAUCCGGAAUUACUGGGCGUAAAGAGCUCGUAGGCGGCUUGUCGCGUCGUCUGUGAAAUCCCGCGGCUCAACUGCGGGCUGGCAGUCGAUACGGGCAGGCUGGAGUUCGGUAGGGGAGACUGGAAUUCCUGGUGUAGCGGUGAAAUGCGCAGAUAUCAGGAGGAACACCGGUGGCGAAGGCGGGUCUCUGGGCCGAUACUGACGCUGAGGAGCGAAAGCGUGGGGAGCGAACAGG
This 253-nucleotide ribosomal RNA is filed under the name uncultured bacterium. RNAcentral's name for it is "partial 16S ribosomal RNA". It matches the Rfam family "Bacterial small subunit ribosomal RNA", at positions 524 to 776 of the family's 1533-position model. The record is from RNAcentral.